GCUUACGGCCAUAUCAGCCUGGGUACGCCCGAUCUCGUCUGAUCUCGGAAGCUAAGCAGGGUCGGGCCGGGUUAGUACUUGGAUGGGAGACCGCCUGGGAAUACCAGGUGCUGUAAGCA
Molecule: ribosomal RNA, 119 nt
Filed under: Salmo salar (Atlantic salmon)
Lineage: Eukaryota; Metazoa; Chordata; Actinopteri; Salmoniformes; Salmonidae
Source: RNAcentral